Molecule: long non-coding RNA, 1595 nt
Organism: Prinia subflava (tawny-flanked prinia)
Lineage: Eukaryota; Metazoa; Chordata; Aves; Passeriformes; Cisticolidae
Exons: 3
Source: RefSeq, a predicted model, not a curated record
GCCUCUCGCAUUAGUAGAGUGUGACUGGAACUGGCAGGAGGCCCUGGCGGGCCUCCAGAAACGAUUAUUACUAGACAGAGCCAAAGGAGACUUGGCACGGCGCGGAGCCCACAGCUGGAGAUUAGGUAACAGAGCCCGCCCGCUCGCCGAGCUGCCAGGGCGUUGGUUACCCUGCCUGAGGAGAGGGUCAGGGCUCUGUUUUCGUAGCUCGGAUUCAUGUAGGGUGCCUGCCUCUGAGACUCUCGCUGCUCCAAUCGGUAACCCAGGGGUUUAUUCCGCAGGAUCGAACCGCCAUCCCAAACCCUGGCAGUUGACCAAAAUGCCUCUCUGGUGAAACUACAGAGGAUGAGCCUGCACUGUCCCUGUCCUGUGCAGCACCCAGAGAGCCUGGUGGUACCCGUGGGGAGCCAGGGCUGGAUGGUUCUGUACAGACAACGCAGCAGGGCAGCGCUGCUCUGGGGAGAAGAGGGGUCAGGCAGGCAGAGCCGGAGCACCGCUCCACUCAAUGCCAGCCCGCUGCCGUGCUCCUUCCCAGGACACGGCCAUGCCCUCGCCUGCCACCCUGCUCCAGAGGCUGAAACGCUGCAAUGCUGAAAUCCUGAAAUGCUGAAACGCUGCAAUGCCGCCAGCGCAGGCUCGUCUGAUAAGCUUUCGUUAUCUGUGCGGGAGAGUGCAAAUGCUCCUGGUGUGGGGGACUGGCUGGUGGUGGAACCACACGGAGGAGUUUCCAGCGAAUGCUGACCAGGGCUAAUGUAAAACUGACUCCACAGCUCACUCUCCAAGCUCCUCCUUCCUCAGCAAGCAAGUGGGUUUUUUCUUUCAUAACAAAACUUGAAGCGAGGAAUUGCUUUCCAUUACCCAAAGUACAGAUCUUGUCCUUCUCCUUAAAUCACCUUCAGCUUGAUGAGCGUGGGCACUCCUUGCUGGUGCCUCUAAACAUCGCCUGGAGAGAAAACCUCUGAGGAAAGUGAAAUUCAGAAGAGCUAAUAAAACAUUUUCUGAAGAGUUCGAAUCUCUCAUUCCAAAGAAAACAAAAAGGUCGGCUGACCUUUCAACCUGACCCUUUUCUCUUUUUUUCUAAGGCAUUAAGAAAAACAUUCUGCAAACAAUGAGUGCUCGUGGUAAUUGUCCCUCCCCUGUGCCCCAGUUCUUGCCAAAAGCAACAUUUCAAUGGCUAUGGGGGGUGGAGGUUGAAAGCAAAUGAGUGAGCAAGCAAAUGCUGGCUUUCACACAUCAGUGGCUGGCUACGCCCUGACCACAUCCAAGGAGGUUCAAGGUGAGGGAGUCAAGCUCUCAGGCUGCUCCUCACUGAGUUUUACAGUUGCAGUGUCUGAAAUAUUGCGGUUCAAGUAUGGAAAUCUGUGUCGGAAGCAUUCAGAAUGUCCAGUCAAAGGCACUAGGACCUGCAGUGGAUCCUGCUGUGACAUGUUUCCAGCUGCAAAAGGAAUCAAAAGAUUUAGGGUUGAGUUCCCUCCUGAUUCUGGAACAUGUUCCACUGUGCAAUCUUUUGUAAUAUCUCUCUUCAAUAAAAGCACUAAUGCUCUCCAAGAGGCCUCCCCCUUUCACUUUCCUCAUAAGAGGCGAUGACAAGCUCC